Molecule: ribosomal RNA, 458 nt
Filed under: Lacticaseibacillus paracasei
Lineage: Bacteria; Bacillati; Bacillota; Bacilli; Lactobacillales; Lactobacillaceae
Description: bacterial LSU rRNA
Rfam family: Bacterial large subunit ribosomal RNA
Source: RNAcentral
GGUUAAGUUACAAAGGGCGCACGGUGGAUGCCUUGGCACUAGGAGCCGAUGAAGGACGGAACUAAUACCGAUAUGCUUCGGGGAGCUAUAAGUAAGCUUUGAUCCGGAGAUUUCCGAAUGGGGGAACCCAGUACACAUCAGUGUAUUGCUUGUCAGUGAAUACAUAGCUGGCCGGCGGCAGACGCGGGGAACUGAAACAUCUCAGUACCCGCAGGAAGAGAAAGAAAACUCGAUUCCCAUAGUAGCGGCGAGCGAAGUGGGAAGAGCCCAAACCGNGAAGCUUGCUUCUCGGGGGUUGUAGGACUGGGACAUUGGAGUUACCAAAGUCCGGCCGAAGUUAUCGCUUUGACUUGUAAUAAUUAUUUUUGAUUGAGAUAUCAGAAAUAACGGGGGAUAAUAAUGAAAAGAUUAUUAGGAUUGUUCUUUGUGUUGUUAGUUGCGUUAGUAUCAUGGUCGGA